CUGGACGGUGCUCUGAAAGCAAUCUAGAUAUUUCUCCAUUAAAUAAUUGUGAACACGAGGAAUAUUCCUCCUACUGCCAUUGAAAAAGUCCGUGAACGAGCUCAGGAGGAAUCUGGGCUGAAGAUUGCUUUCAAACUUGUAACAGAUUUUUUUUGAAGUGUAUGUGUGUGUAUAUAUACAAAUAAAUAUAUAUAUACACACAUAUGUACACAUAUAUGUAUGAAAAUUCCUCAUGGUCAAACAUCAGUCAAAGGGAAUGCAGUUUGUCUGUGUUUUGGCUUAGACUGGCAAAGAGGAAAUUAAAUUCUUCAUAGGAUUAUUAAACCAUCCUAAAAAAAAUGGAACAUUUAAGUGAGAAUAGGAAAAACAUGAAGCAGAAGAGGAAGACAAAUGAGAAAGGCAUGCAUGCAAAACUAAACCCAACAGCCAUUAUUAGGUGACUUCUCACAUCUGGGUUUCGGGAGAAGCAGAAAGCUGAUGAGCCAAUUGACCAUAGGGAUUGCCUAUACGGAUGUUUUAAAGAUGUUGGCAAGAAUGAAGUAAAUCACCUCUUGAGGCUUUGAAGAAAGAGGAAAUUCCGGAAAUAUGAGUGAAUAGGAGUCAGACAUAGCAGUUAAUUCAAGAGGAAUCCAUUUGAAUUAAAAAUAUGAAGAAACCCAAAUGGUGGAUGUUUUUGGAUGUAGUUAAAAACAAAACAAUGUUGGAAACACAGGCUUGAUUUGCCUUUCAUUAUUUAAAAAUAAAAAUUGCCCAACUUUUUUUUUCAA
Long non-coding RNA from Dromaius novaehollandiae (emu), 767 nucleotides. RefSeq lists it as uncharacterized. The record is from RefSeq and is a predicted model, not a curated record. Lineage: Eukaryota; Metazoa; Chordata; Aves; Casuariiformes; Dromaiidae. The transcript is spliced from 3 exons.